This is a long non-coding RNA of Poecile atricapillus (Black-capped chickadee), 279 nucleotides long. RefSeq lists it as uncharacterized. The transcript has 3 exons. The record is from RefSeq and is a predicted model, not a curated record. NCBI's taxonomy places the organism in Eukaryota, Metazoa, Chordata, Aves, Passeriformes, Paridae.
GUGGUUGCCAGCUGUGUCUGUCCUACUCAGAAGUGUAGGAUCUGAUCUGCAGUGGGUCUCUGGACUUGGGGUCAGCUCUCUGAAGGUCACAGGACAGCUGUAGAAGUAGAAGGAAAGGACAGUCUGCUUAAAAUUUCAACCCAUGGCCCCACUGCUUCCAGAGCUACUGCUAUGAACAGCUGAUGUCUAUCUGGCUCAGCUGGACCUGGCAUUGCUAGAAAUUAGCAGAUCAGAGCCUGUGUGGCCAGAUCCUGUCUUUCUGCAACCAGCCCACUCAGA